Molecule: ribosomal RNA, 472 nt
Filed under: uncultured bacterium
Lineage: Bacteria
Description: bacterial SSU rRNA
Rfam family: Bacterial small subunit ribosomal RNA
Source: RNAcentral
GAGUUUGAUCGUGGCUCAGAUUGAACGCUGGCGGCAGGCCUAACACAUGCAAGUCGAGCGGUAGAGAGAAGCUUGCUUCUCUUGAGAGCGGCGGACGGGUGAGUAAUGCCUAGGAAUCUGCCUGGUAGUGGGGGAUAACGCUCGGAAACGGACGCUAAUACCGCAUACGUCCUACGGGAGAAAGCAGGGGACCUUCGGGCCUUGCGCUAUCAGAUGAGCCUAGGUCGGAUUAGCUAGUUGGUGAGGUAAUGGCUCACCAAGGCGACGAUCCGUAACUGGUCUGAGAGGAUGAUCAGUCACACUGGAACUGAGACACGGUCCAGACUCCUACGGGAGGCAGCAGUGGGGAAUAUUGGACAAUGGGCGAAAGCCUGAUCCAGCCAUGCCGCGUGUGUGAAGAAGGUCUUCGGAUUGUAAAGCACUUUAAGUUGGGAGAAGGGCAGUAAAUUAAUACUUUGCUGUUUUGACGUUA